Molecule: long non-coding RNA, 269 nt
Filed under: Nicotiana benthamiana
Lineage: Eukaryota; Viridiplantae; Streptophyta; Magnoliopsida; Solanales; Solanaceae
Description: long non-coding RNA (NBEN_LNC012382)
Source: RNAcentral
UUUUACGCCUAUAGUUAUUCCUAGGCUUUUUCUUCUUUGUUUCAGCUUUAGGAAUAUCAAUACUACGUGUUUCUAGUGCUUUCCUAAGUUCUGUGUUUUCUAGUUUUAAAGAACUACAAGAAGAACAAUUUGAACAUGUAUCAAUAGAAGAAGCUUUAUUCAAUUCCUUUAUUUUAUUUUUAAAAACAGCAAUGUCAUUUUCCAAAAAUUUGUUUUCUUUUUCUAAAACUUCAAUUUUGUUUUUAAGAACACCAUUUUCAUUAGUCAAU